GUAGGGAAUAUUGGGCAAUGGUCGGAAGACUGACCCAGCCAUGCCGCGUGCAGGAAGACGGCCCUCUGGGUUGUAAACUGCUUUUAUCUGGGAAGAAAAAGGCCAUGCGUGGCAAAUUGCCGGUACCAGAUGAAUAAGCACCGGCUAACUCCGUGCCAGCAGCCGCGGUAAUACGGAGGGUGCGAGCGUUGUCCGGAUUUAUUGGGUUUAAAGGGUGCGUAGGCGGCUGAUUAAGUCAGCGGUGAAAGACUUCGGCUUAACCGGGGCAGUGCCGUUGAUACUGGUUGGCUUGAGUGUCGGAGGGGUACAUGGAAUUGAUGGUGUAGCGGUGAAAUGCAUAGAUACCAUCAGGAACACCGAUAGCGAAGGCAUUGUACUGGCCGACAACUGACGCUGAUGCACGAAAGUGUGGGGAUCGAACAGGAUUAGAUACCCCUGUAGUCC
RNAcentral lists this ribosomal RNA (444 nucleotides) under uncultured bacterium. RNAcentral's name for it is "partial 16S ribosomal RNA". It matches the Rfam family "Bacterial small subunit ribosomal RNA", at positions 354 to 796 of the family's 1533-position model. The record is from RNAcentral.